Molecule: non-coding RNA, 43 nt
Filed under: Trypanosoma brucei brucei
Lineage: Eukaryota; Euglenozoa; Kinetoplastea; Trypanosomatida; Trypanosomatidae
Source: RNAcentral
AAACAAAAACAAUGAGACUACUCAAUAUAGAGAAUGAUAUAAU